Non-coding RNA from Schistosoma rodhaini, 46 nucleotides. The record is from Rfam. Lineage: Eukaryota; Metazoa; Platyhelminthes; Trematoda; Strigeidida; Schistosomatidae.
GCACCGCUGAGGAGUCCCAUAAUAGGACGAAACGGACAUCCAGUGC